GGGGUAAGUUCCGACCUGCACGAAAGGCGUAACGAUUUGGAUACUGUCUCGGAGAGAGGCUCGGCGAAAUAGACUUGUCUGUGAAGAUGCGGACUACCUGCACCUGGACAGAAAGACCCUAUGAAGCUUUACUGUAACUUGAAAUUGAAAUUGGACUUUAGUCGCGCAGCAUAGGUGGGAAGCGUUGAGCAUAUUCUUGCGGGAAUAUAGGAGCUAUCAGUGAGAUACCACUCUUCUAAUGUUAGAUUUCUAACCUUGAACCAUUAUCUGGUCAAGGAACAGUUUCAGGCGGGCAGUUUGACUGGGGCGGUCGCCUCCCAAAGAGUAACGGAGGCGCGCGAAGGUUGGCUCAGAGCGGUCGGAAAUCGCUCGUUGAGUGCAAUGGCAGAAGCCAGCCUGACUGCAAGACUGACACGUCGAGCAGAGUCGAAAGACGGCCAUAGUGAUCCGGUGGUCCCGAGUGGAAGGGCCAUCGCUCAACGGAUAAAAGGUAC
This 494-nucleotide ribosomal RNA is filed under the name uncultured eukaryote. RNAcentral describes it as "partial Bacterial large subunit ribosomal RNA". It matches the Rfam family "Bacterial large subunit ribosomal RNA", at positions 1973 to 2466 of the family's 2925-position model. The record is from RNAcentral.